This 253-nucleotide ribosomal RNA is filed under the name uncultured bacterium. Its description in RNAcentral is "partial 16S ribosomal RNA". It matches the Rfam family "Bacterial small subunit ribosomal RNA", at positions 524 to 776 of the family's 1533-position model. The record is from RNAcentral.
GACGAAGGGGGCAAGCGUUAUUCGGAAUUAUUGGGCGUAAAGGGCGCGUAGGCGGCAUGGCAAGUGGAUGGUGAAAUCCCUCGGCUUAACCGAGGAACUGCCGUCCAAACUGCUUCGCUUGAGACCGGGAGAGGUGAGUGGAAUUCCCAGUGUAGCGGUGAAAUGCGUAGAUAUUGGGAGGAACACCAGUGGCGAAGGCGGCUCACUGGACCGGUACUGACGCUGAAGCGCGAAAGCGUGGGGAGCAAACGGG